Molecule: unclassified non-coding RNA, 520 nt
Filed under: uncultured Glomus
Lineage: Eukaryota; Fungi; Glomeromycota; Glomeromycetes; Glomerales; Glomeraceae
Description: SSU rRNA
Rfam family: Eukaryotic small subunit ribosomal RNA
Source: RNAcentral
AGCAGCCGCGGUAAUUCCAGCUCCAAUAGCGUAUAUUAAAGUUGUUGCAGCUAAGAAGCUCGUAGUUGAAUUUCGGGAUCAAUAUGUUGGUCGUGCCUCGGUACGUACUGGCAUUAUCGAUUCCUACCUUCUGAAGAACCUUGAUGUCAUUAAUUUGGUGUCUUGGGGAAUCAGGACUGUUACUUUGAAAAAUUAGAGUGUUUAAAGCAGGCUCGCGCUUGAAUACAUUAGCAUGGAAUAAUGAAAUAGGACGUUUGAUUCUAUUUUGUUGGUUUCUAGGAUCGACGUAAUGAUUAAUAGGGAUAGUUGGGGGCAUUAGUAUUCAAUUGUCAGAGGUGAAAUUCUUGGAUUUAUUGAAGACUAACUACUGCGAAAGCAUUUGCCAAGGAUGUUUUCAUUAAUCAAGAACGAAAGUUAGGGGAUCGAAGACGAUCAGAUACCGUCGUAGUCUUAACCAUAAACUAUGCCGACUAGGGAUCGGAUGAUGUUAAUUUUUUAAUGACUCAUUCGGCGCCUUACG